UACGUAGGUGGCAAGCGUUACUCGGAAUCACUGGGCAUAAAGGGCGUGUAGGCGGACGUAUAAGUCCGGUGUAAAAGCCCCCGGCUCAACCGGGGAAUGCCAUCGGAUACUGUGCGUCUCGAGUGCGGGAGGGGAGAGUGGAACUCUUGGUGGAGCGGUGAAAUGCGUAGAUAUCAAGAGGAACGCCGGUGGCGAAAGCGGCUCUCUGGCCCGUUACUGACGCUGAGGCGCGAAAGCCAGGGGAGCAAACGGG
This 253-nucleotide ribosomal RNA is filed under the name uncultured bacterium. Its description in RNAcentral is "partial 16S ribosomal RNA". It matches the Rfam family "Bacterial small subunit ribosomal RNA", at positions 524 to 776 of the family's 1533-position model. The record is from RNAcentral.